AAUUCUCAACCUUUUAAGCAUUUUGUUAAAGCUUAUUAAGGCUUGGAUUAUGGGAGCUUUGCUGGCUUUUAUUGAGUUAGCUCUUCUUAAACACAUUAGCAAGAUCAUCGCUGAAUCAUCUUUGAUAUGAUAAUUAUAUCUAUAUUAUUGAUGGUUAAGCAUUUUCCUUCAAGGAAAAGAUAUAGCUUCUAACCGUCUUCAGAGACAGUCUACAUCA
This 217-nucleotide unclassified non-coding RNA is filed under the name uncultured Entoloma. RNAcentral's name for it is "sequence contains ITS2". Lineage: Eukaryota; Fungi; Basidiomycota; Agaricomycetes; Agaricales; Entolomataceae. The record is from RNAcentral.